AUUGAACGCUGGCGGCAGGCCUAACACAUGCAAGUCGAGCGGCAGCACGGGUACUUGUACCUGGUGGCGAGCGGCGGACGGGUGAGUAAUGCCUAGGAAUCUGCCUGGUAGUGGGGGAUAACGCUCGGAAACGGACGCUAAUACCGCAUACGUCCUACGGGAGAAAGCAGGGGACCUUCGGGCCUUGCGCUAUCAGAUGAGCCUAGGUCGGAUUAGCUAGUUGGUAGGUAACGGCCUACCAAGGCGACAAUCCGUAGCUGGUCUGAGAGGACGACCAGCCACACUGGGACUGAGACACGGCCCAGGCUCCUACGGGAGGCAGCAGU
RNAcentral lists this ribosomal RNA (326 nucleotides) under uncultured bacterium. RNAcentral's name for it is "bacterial SSU rRNA". It matches the Rfam family "Bacterial small subunit ribosomal RNA", at positions 30 to 355 of the family's 1533-position model. The record is from RNAcentral.